Molecule: ribosomal RNA, 406 nt
Filed under: Psammophis phillipsii
Lineage: Eukaryota; Metazoa; Chordata; Lepidosauria; Squamata
Description: partial 16S ribosomal RNA
Rfam family: Bacterial large subunit ribosomal RNA
Source: RNAcentral
CGGUACCCUAACCGUGCAAAGGUAGCGAAUCAUUUGUCUAUUAAUUGUAGACCUGUAUGAAAGGCAAAAUGAGGGCCUAACUGUCUCUUAUAACUAAUCAAUUAAACUGAUCUCCCAGUACAAAAGCUGGAAUAAAAACAUUAGACCAGAAGACCCUGUGAAGCUUAAAUAAAACUAUCAAACCAUAUGAUAGCUAAUUUCGGUUGGGGCGACCUUGGAAAAAAAAAGAACUUCCAAACAAAAAGCUUUAUAUAGCAACAAACCAAAGGCUAACAGGCCAAACAACGACCCAGCACCGCUGAUUAAUGAAACAAGUUACUCCAGGGAUAACAGCGCUAUCUUCUUCAAGAGUCCAUAUCAAAAAGAAGGUUUACGACCUCGAUGUUGGAUCAGGACAUCCUAAUGG